AUAUGAUUUCAUAGUUAAAAAAAGAAACAAGGGGAUUGGGAUAUGACCCAUGCCCUGCUUUGCUAAUCAAUAAACGGCAUUCAAUUAAAAAGCUCAACUCGAUCCGCGGACCAGCUCGUAUAACUCGCGGUUCAUAUAGGUUAUUUGAUAAGCCAGGGACUAUGCCAAAGGAUACAGGGGACAACAAUGAAAGACCCAAAAGGAGGACUAAUCCACCCAAGCAGGUGUGAAGGAGCUACAAACCUGUUAGAAGUGGGAACAGCUGGCAGAAAUGGCUAGCACCUAGUAGGAGAAUAUGCUUGUCAGAAUAAUUCUGCUGUUAUAUGAGUAGUGGAAUUGUGCAUUUCUGUUAUCCCUUGUUGGCCCUUUGUCUCUAGGUUGUAACCGUAAGCAGGCUAUAUAUAUUGAGCCUUUGCUGUGUAUGAAAGGAUACGAGAAAAUUAUCAAACACUUCCCUUCUUAAUCUAGUUUCUGGAGGUUUCCCUUAGGCCUCGAAUUCUAAGGGCGUGUUCUGGUUCUUAACAUUUAUUUCUUGUAUUUUUUUUCAUUUAGUGGUUUAAUAUAUAUUUGAUAGAUUAAAGAGGGAACCGGAUCCGUUGAAUAGCGAUAUGUCGAAGGGUGUGUAGCCAGGCCUACAUUGAAUUGGUGUCGGGGGAGAAAUUAAUGUGGUGCUGGUGCCUGUGACACUGUAUGUGGGUUAUCUUAUCUGCCAUUCAGUAUUAAUUGGAAGGGAAGGGCAAUUGCAAUUGCAAACUUAACACACAUCACACAAAAAGUAGUUUUUCUUUUGUCUUUGUCUCCUUGUUUGUAUCCAACCAAAAGCUACUUUUUGACAUAAACCAUGAUGCUUUUCCAUUCUCGUUUACGGUCCCUUUCUCUCGUUGUAUAUCUCGAGGCUAUGCACAUAGAUUUUUAUUGUUGUACGUGUCAUCUCAUCAUCCCUUUUGGAAAUUUAAAAGAGUCAAAACACUAUUAUAAACAGAAGAGCAACAAUGGGUAUGGAGAAAGAAUAGUCAAAGAGGAUGUGGAAAAAAGUGCCUUUGCAUGCCUUCUUUCCUUUCUUUUUGUCUCUCUAACUCAGAAUUUCUUGGCACACGGAGAACACGCUUUGAUAGUUGUCUUAUGGAAGCUUUAGAAGAGGGACCGGAGAAGAUAAUAGGACUAGGAUUAGAAAGGUAUGAUGUGGAAGAAUAGGGAGAGAAUCAUUUGGUUAUCAUUGUCUUUUCUGGUAAUGGUAACCAUAUCGUGUGUGUGUAGAUUUUUAAAUCAAGGCAAAUGCACUAGUUUUUUUUACUGGAGCAAAUACUCUAGUUAAGAAACUA
Long non-coding RNA from Glycine soja, 1322 nucleotides. RefSeq lists it as uncharacterized. The transcript has 3 exons. The record is from RefSeq and is a predicted model, not a curated record. Lineage: Eukaryota; Viridiplantae; Streptophyta; Magnoliopsida; Fabales; Fabaceae.